UCCCUCUGAUGACACCGCGAAUCUGGGAAUGAAGAACUUCUUAGAGCUGAUUGGAAAUGGCAUUGCGGAGCUGAAACUUAACUGGAGGAAAUAUAUCUCCUGAAGAAGAAAAUAUAAUGCACUGUAAGGAUCUGUCUUCUGGUGAAAAAUCCAAGCCUAGAGAAAACUUGUCCGCUUUCUUAGGAAGAAUGGGUUGGACAAUUUUCUUCAGUUCCAAAGGAUAUCUGAAUGCCAUGCUGAGCUUAAUCUCUGCAGCAUGCUCUGUGCUUCUCAUCUCUUCCUGAUGCACUGCAUGGUUAUUCUGAAGGGGAAGAUAAAGAAACUGGCCACCAAGAUGGUAAUCACUAGUGGAAAUGAAGAAGAUAAAGGCAGUCAAGAAAAGGAAAGCAAAGAAGAAACCAUCUUGGCAAUGCUUGGAAUUAUUGGGACAAUUCUGAACCUCAUUGUGAUCAUUUUUGUGUAUAUUUAUACAACGUUGUAAACUAGAAGGCAUGCAAAUAGACCAGAUAAAACGGCCAUUAAGAGUGACAACAAACAUUGGUGACUAUUGACAAAUUCUUUAAUCAGAAUUGACUCUGUAUUAUAUUAUAUUAACACAUCAUAAAAGCACUGCCUGAAGGCAGCGAAGACUGAAGCACAAUUAAUUUAACAGGACUUUUUCACACAGUAAUAAGCUUAACUCUUCUCUCCUGCCCUCUCCCUUUCCGUUUGGUUUUCAGUUUGGGGGAGAAUGACUGCAGUUAUGUAAGUUGUAGCUUUGAAGAAAUCCACCAGGGAUAUGUUGUUUUAACACAACAAAAAUAAAAAAAAAAAAAAAGGAAAAGAAAAAAAAAAAAGGAAAAGAAACUGUACACUAUAUAUAAUUAGAAAUGUAUGCUGUAUACCCACAAAGAUUGAACUCAAAGAUAGCUUCAUAGCACAGAUCACGUGUCUGUUAGGUCAAAUGGUUUUUUCUCUUGGUUUUUGCUUUUACUUACAUUGAAUCUGACAAGCUUUUUAUUUAGAAUGAACAUAUGGUGCAAUCAUGAAAAAAACAAUUCCAUCGAGCAAGGUCUGCCUAAACCUGAUAAAAUGUUGGGAGAAAUACAUUACAUGGUUAUUUUUCCUUUCUCAUUUGCUUAACAUCUGUGUCUGUUCAUACCAAUGUUUAUAAAUAUAUAUUUUUAAUAAAUGUGCUAUAUUUUUAGCAUGAACCAAA
Non-coding RNA from Pseudopodoces humilis (Tibetan ground-tit), 1198 nucleotides. NCBI's taxonomy places the organism in Eukaryota, Metazoa, Chordata, Aves, Passeriformes, Paridae. The record is from RefSeq and is a predicted model, not a curated record.